GGGGAUGUUUUGGUUUUGACAGCAUUGAUGUCGGACAGUAAGCACGCCGGGCUUCGGAAGCAGGCCCGUUAAACUCAGUUUCCAAACAAUUAGUAGGCAACUACAACUAUUCAUACGCUUGCUAAUCCUCCAAGAGGAAGGCAUUAAUCGGAGCCGCCUAGGCUGCGGCACCGACGUAUAUCCCUCCGUCCUUUAGGCCGGUUAUGGACGGGACCAGGGGUAUCAUCCAAACCGGAUGCACGGAGCGAUUCUCCUAAGCUCCGCCAAGACUCAGGAGAUAAGCUGCAAAUAGUCCGUCUUCCAGCGGUUUGCAGCCGACAACCAUUGGAAGAAUAAGCGUGUAGAAAGCUCUCCGGUGCUUUGUUUGGACGGCGGUUCGAGUCCGCCCAUCUCCACGA
This 398-nucleotide transfer-messenger RNA is filed under the name Bacteroidales. RNAcentral's name for it is "Cryptobacteroides sp017962585 Standard tmRNA". It matches the Rfam family "transfer-messenger RNA". Rfam says of the family: Bacterial tmRNA, also known as 10Sa RNA or SsrA, is named for its dual tRNA and mRNA-like properties. The record is from RNAcentral. Lineage: Bacteria; Pseudomonadati; Bacteroidota; Bacteroidia. RNAcentral also lists the same sequence under 1 other name.